Molecule: ribosomal RNA, 792 nt
Filed under: uncultured bacterium
Lineage: Bacteria
Description: bacterial SSU rRNA
Rfam family: Bacterial small subunit ribosomal RNA
Source: RNAcentral
AGAGUUUGAUCAUGGCUCAGGAUGAACGCUAGCGGCAGGCCUAAUACAUGCAAGCCGAACGGCAAGUUUGAUAGCAAUAUUGAACCUAGAGUGGCGUAAGGGUGCGUAACACGUAUGCAAUCUACCCGCAACAGGAGGAUAGCUCCCCGAAAGGGGAAUUAACCCUCCAUGAGAUCACACGAGGGCAUCUGAGAGUGAUUAAACUACAAGGGGUUGUGGAUGAGCAUGCGUCUGAUUAGCUAGUUGGCAGUGUAACGGACUACCAAGGCGAUGAUCAGUAGGGGAACUGAGAGGUUGAUCCCCCACACUGGCACUGAGAUACGGGCCAGACUCCUACGGGAGGCAGCAGUAGGGAAUAUUGGUCAAUGGGUGAGAGCCUGAACCAGCCAUGCCGCGUGCAGGAAGAAGGCCUUCUGGGUUGUAAACUGCUUUUGCCGGGGGAUAAAAGACCCUUGCGAGGGAAAUUGAAGGUACCUGGUGAAUAAGCCACGGCUAACUACGUGCCAGCAGCCGCGGUAAUACGUAGGUGGCAAGCGUUGUCCGGAUUUAUUGGGUUUAAAGGGUGCGUAGGCGGUUGAUUAAGUCAGUUGUGAAAUACGAUAGCUCAACUAUCGAGGUGCAAUUGAUACUGGUUGACUUGAGUACAGACGAGGUAGGCGGAAUUGACGGUGUAGCGGUGAAAUGCAUAGAUAUCGUCAAGAACACCGAUAGCGAAGGCAGCUUACUAGACUGUAACUGACGCUGAGGCACGAAAGUGUGGGGAUCAAACAGGAUUAGAUACCCUAGUAGUCC